This 598-nucleotide unclassified non-coding RNA is filed under the name Aspergillus fumigatus. RNAcentral describes it as "sequence contains 18S rRNA gene, ITS1, 5.8S rRNA gene, ITS2 and 28S rRNA gene". Lineage: Eukaryota; Fungi; Ascomycota; Eurotiomycetes; Eurotiales; Aspergillaceae. The record is from RNAcentral.
UCCUCCGCUUAUUGAUAUGCUUAAGUUCAGCGGGUAUCCCUACCUGAUCCGAGGUCAACCUUGGAAAAAUAAAGUUGGGUGUCGGCUGGCGCCGGCCGGGCCUACAGAGCAGGUGACAAAGCCCCAUACGCUCGAGGACCGGACGCGGUGCCGCCGCUGCCUUUCGGGCCCGUCCCCCGGGAGAGGGGGACGGGGGCCCAACACACAAGCCGUGCUUGAGGGCAGCAAUGACGCUCGGACAGGCAUGCCCCCGGGAAUACCAGGGGGCGCAAUGUGCGUUCAAAGACUCGAUGAUUCACUGAAUUCUGCAAUUCACAUUACUUAUCGCAUUUCGCUGCGUUCUUCAUCGAUGCCGGAACCAAGAGAUCCGUUGUUGAAAGUUUUAACUGAUUACGAUAAUCAACUCAGACUGCAUACUUUCAGAACAGCGUUCAUGUUGGGGUCUUCGGCGGGCGCGGGCCCGGGGGCGCAAGGCCUCCCCGGCGGCCGUCGAAACGGCGGGCCCGCCGAAGCAACAAGGUACGAUAGACACGGGUGGGAGGUUGGACCCAGAGGGCCCUCACUCGGUAAUGAUCCUUCCGCAAGGUUCACCUACGGA